AAUGGCACUGGUAGAAUUCACGGUUGCUAUGGAAACCCGUGGGUUUUCCGGUGCCAUACG
This 60-nucleotide microRNA precursor is filed under the name Lingula anatina. RNAcentral's name for it is "Lan-Mir-96-P3_pre stem-loop". The record is from RNAcentral. Lineage: Eukaryota; Metazoa; Brachiopoda; Lingulata; Lingulida; Lingulidae.